CGACCAAAGAGAGCGCUUUCCCUAUAGCAGCUGCUGGGUAGACACACAGAAUAAAAUAAAUGGCAAAUUAAUAAUGACUUUAAAUCAAAGCAAAGGAAGAAUGCCAAAAUAGUCUAAUAAAGUUAUCAUAUAAUGGCAAAUCAAUAAUGAAUUGACAAAUGAUUCAUGCGUUUAAACGAAUGAGAGCAGAUCAAUAAGCUACAGUAGAAAGCUCAAUCAGGCUCAUGGAAGAUACAAUAUCAAUGCAUGGUUGAAUGCACGUGUUAAUGGACAUUUCUACUUUCUAUGUACUAAACAAAUAGAUUUAGAUCAGGAAUUGUCAGAGUAAUGUAUAGGCAGGCUAAUAUAGCAGCAUGUAGAAUGCUAAAUGGAUUCUGGGCUCGAUACCCAAUGUCUGAAGCCUACCUUUAGGUAACCUAGAGCAAUAUGUCUAACAACUACCUUCUCCCUAAUCACCUGUUUUACUCGGAUGAAAGUAAAAAGACUGCAUAUAUUUACGAACCAAAAAUAGCCUCAUAUUUAUGGAAGAGAGAGCGUGUAUUGUGAGUCCUGAUCCCUGACCCUCCCGCUGUGUGUCCUGCUGUGGUUGUGUGUGUUCCAGUUGGACCACGGCUGUGUCCUCCCAUGUCCAACAGCCGAGGACAUCACCAAGCGGGGGGUGCCCCCCGUGUCGCCCCCCCUGGCCAUGUGGGAGAGACAAACCUACGUGGUGGAGCUGGAGAAAGGGGAGUCUGGGCUGGGCUUCAGCAUCCUGGACUACCAGGAUCCCGAGGACGCCACCAAGACGGUGCUGGUCAUCCGCUCGCUGGUGCCCGGGGGCGUGGCCGACCAGGACGGCAACCUGCUCCCCGGGGACCGGCUGAUGUGCGUGAACGACUCGGACCUGCAGGGCUCCAGCCUGGACUACGCCGUGCACGUCCUCAAGUCCACCAGCUACGGCCCCGUCCGCAUCGGCGUAGCCAAGCCGCUGCCGGUACGGAGGGAAAGAUAGGAUUUCAAACACCUAAGGGCAUCCUUAAUAUCGUCUAAACUCGUUGAGCUCUGUCUUAAGGUUGCAUCUCUAGUUUAGCCCAACUGUUUAUUUUUUCCUCGAUGACAUUUUGUUUUGGUAUUAUUUUUUCAAUACGAAGAUGGUGUACAGCAAUUAAGUGUGCUGUGCGCGUAUUAAUCCAACUCGCACACAAGUACACAGACAGACACCUACUGUGAAGUGGUGUAUUUUCUAGAGAGAGAGAGAGCGUUGGCUUUUACCUCCUCUUUUUGUUUUGGACUGUGGCUUAGUAACAAGUAGCAGGGCGUCCAGUUUCAGACCCGUCUCAAUAUUUAAUGAAGCCCAGAGAGCAACACAAUGCUACACCGCACUACACGAGAAGAGAGAGGGCAGGGAAGGAGAGUAGUGGGAGGUCAAAUUCAACCCAGCGCCUUCUGGAAAGCCUUGUUAGCUUCUAUCAUAGCACACUGUUUUUGUUUGGAUCGUUUUUGUGGGUUUUUUGGUUGAUACAUAUUUCCCAUUUGACUUUGAGUGUGUGUGUGUGUGUGUGUGUGUGUGUUACCGUCAGUUGGAGCUGUGCGGUGGUCUGACGCCAAUCUCAGAGCGCAGCGCGCGUGCCUCCUACGAUGACGCUGACGGCCUCGUUCAGCUUAGCCUGCUAGCCGAGCUGACAGACGCUAACGCCAACGCCGGCCAUUCUGAGGAGAACCACAGCAGCAGCAGCCAGCUAGUCUACUCCAGAACGGUACGUGGCCCAGGUGGAACAGCUUAGCAUCACAUAGAAGGGGGAACAGCAAAGUGUUUGUCGGUCAAAGUCAACACUCACUGUUUGUCUGCCCUUAUUGUAAAGGGAUUGUUCAAAGUGUUUGCCGUUCAGGAAUAUUUGAAAGCUUUUCAAAUAAAUGUGAAACUAGUUUGAACAGUGUGUUUUUACCUUUUGCCCCAGUGAGCUAAGUAAAUUGGAUAGCUGUUUCAAAAUGUGCUCAGUAAUACCAUUGAGCUGAACAAGAUGACAGUAAUACAGAUGGAUCGGUACUUUCCACCUUUUUGGAUCCUUCGCCUCAGAGCCGG
Molecule: long non-coding RNA, 2062 nt
Organism: Gadus morhua (Atlantic cod)
Lineage: Eukaryota; Metazoa; Chordata; Actinopteri; Gadiformes; Gadidae
Source: Ensembl